RNAcentral lists this ribosomal RNA (252 nucleotides) under uncultured Ruminococcus sp. RNAcentral's name for it is "partial 16S ribosomal RNA". It matches the Rfam family "Bacterial small subunit ribosomal RNA", at positions 524 to 776 of the family's 1533-position model. The record is from RNAcentral. Lineage: Bacteria; Bacillati; Bacillota; Clostridia; Eubacteriales; Oscillospiraceae.
UACGUAGGGAGCGAGCGUUGUCCGGAAUUACUGGGUGUAAAGGGAGCGUAGGCGGGGAUGCAAGUUGGGUGUUAAAUCUACCGGCUCAACUGGUAGUCGCACUCAAAACUGCAGCUCUUGAGUGAAGUAGAGGCAGGCGGAAUUCCUAGUGUAGCGGUGAAAUGCGUAGAUAUAUGGAAGAACACCAGUGGCGAAGGCGGCUCUCUGGUCUGUAACUGACGCUGAGGCUCGAAAGCAUGGGUAGCGAACAGG